UACGUAGGGUCCGAGCGUUGUCCGGAAUUACUGGGCGUAAAGAGCUCGUAGGUGGUUUGUCGCGUUGUUCGUGAAAACUCACAGCUUAACUGUGGGCGUGCGGGCGAUACGGGCAGACUGGAGUACUGCAUGGGAGAAUGGAAUUCCUGGUGUAGCGGUGAAAUGCGCAGAUAUCAGGAGGAACACCGGUGGCGAAGGCGGUUCUCUGGCCCUUACCUGACACUGAGGAGCGAAAGCGUGGGGAGCGAACAGG
This 253-nucleotide ribosomal RNA is filed under the name uncultured bacterium. RNAcentral describes it as "partial 16S ribosomal RNA". It matches the Rfam family "Bacterial small subunit ribosomal RNA", at positions 524 to 776 of the family's 1533-position model. The record is from RNAcentral.